Long non-coding RNA from Mangifera indica (mango), 298 nucleotides. RefSeq lists it as uncharacterized. Lineage: Eukaryota; Viridiplantae; Streptophyta; Magnoliopsida; Sapindales; Anacardiaceae. The record is from RefSeq and is a predicted model, not a curated record. The transcript is spliced from 3 exons.
AAAAGAAGGAAAGGGAAAGGAAGAGAAAAGGGAUUUAUAGGAAAAGGGAAUAGGGUGAAGAAGAAGGGAGAUUAGCAAGAGAUUUCAACUCUGACUUAGAGGCUACCCAAAUCAGACAUCCUCCAGAUCGUGUUGGUUAGUGUUUCGUUGGGUUGUGCCACGGUGUAGCAUAUUUAGUGCUGGAUAUAGACUUUUUGUUGUUUUUUUUUAUAAACUUAUGAAAUGUUGAAAGGUCGGAGGCCUAAUUACAAUGUUCUCAUAACUUUUGAAAUGAGUAAAGAUGUAAAUUAUUUUGUCA